UACGGAGGGUGCAAGCGUUAAUCGGAAUUACUGGGCGUAAAGCGCGCGUAGGCGGUUUUUUAAGUCGGAUGUGAAAGCCCCGGGCUCAACCUGGGAACUGCAUCCGAUACUGGAAGACUAGGAUGCGGGAGAGGGAGGUAGAAUUCCAUGUGUAGCAGUGAAAUGCGUAGAUAUAUGGAGGAAUACCAGUGGCGAAGGCGGCCUCCUGGCUCGACAUUGACGCUGAGGUGCGAAAGCGUGGGGAGCAAACGGG
RNAcentral lists this ribosomal RNA (253 nucleotides) under uncultured bacterium. RNAcentral's name for it is "partial 16S ribosomal RNA". It matches the Rfam family "Bacterial small subunit ribosomal RNA", at positions 524 to 776 of the family's 1533-position model. The record is from RNAcentral.